Molecule: ribosomal RNA, 959 nt
Filed under: Planktolyngbya sp. ENCB-AA09
Lineage: Bacteria; Bacillati; Cyanobacteriota; Cyanophyceae; Leptolyngbyales; Leptolyngbyaceae
Description: bacterial SSU rRNA
Rfam family: Bacterial small subunit ribosomal RNA
Source: RNAcentral
UCUGGUUAGGCAAUGCAAGGUGCAUACCGCGUGUGGGAGGAGGUCUGUGGAUUGUAACCCCUUUUCUCAGGGAAGAGCUCUGACGGUACCUGAGGAUCAGCAUCGGCUAACUCCGUGCCAGCAGCCGCGGUAAUACGGAGGAUGCAGCGUUAUCCGGAAUUAUUGGGCGUAAAGCGUCCGCAGGCGGCUAGAUAAGUCUGCUUUCAAAGAGUGGGGCUCAACCCCAUAGAGGGAGUGGAAACUGUUUAGCUAGAGUAUGGUAGGGGCAGAGGGAAUUCCCAGUGUAGCGGUGAAAUGCGUAGAUAUUGGGAAGAACACCAGUGGCGAAGGCGCUCUGCUGGACCGAGACUGACGCUGAGGGACGAAAGCUAGGGGAGCGAAAGGGAUUAGAUACCCCUGUAGUCCUAGCUGUAAACGAUGGACACUAGGUGUUGCGCGUAUCGACCCGUGCAGUGCCGUAGCUAACGCGUUAAGUGUCCCGCCUGGGGAGUACGCACGCAAGUGUGAAACUCAAAGGAAUUGACGGGGGCCCGCACAAGCGGUGGAGUAUGUGGUUUAAUUCGAUGCAACGCGAAGAACCUUACCAGGGUUUGACAUCCCUCGAAUCUCUGUGAAAGCGGAGAGUGCCUUCGGGAGCGAGGAGACAGGUGGUGCAUGGCUGUCGUCAGCUCGUGUCGUGAGAUGUUGGGUUAAGUCCCGCAACGAGCGCAACCCACGUUUUCAGUUGCCAGCAUUAAGUUGGGGACUCUGGAGAGACUGCCGGUGACAAACCGGAGGAAGGUGUGGACGACGUCAAGUCAUCAUGCCCCUUACAUCCUGGGCUACACACGUACUACAAUGGUUAGGACAAAGGGCAGCGAAGCCGCGAGGUGAAGCAAAACCCACAAACCUAGCCUCAGUACGAGAGUGUCGAGAGACGUGCAGGUCAGCAUCAUGAACAGAAUAGCACUUAUGGACAG